Molecule: ribosomal RNA, 273 nt
Filed under: uncultured bacterium
Lineage: Bacteria
Description: partial 16S ribosomal RNA
Rfam family: Bacterial small subunit ribosomal RNA
Source: RNAcentral
UACGGAGGGUCCGAGCGUUAUCGGGAAUCAUUGGGUUUAAAGGGUCCGUAGGCGGGAAUCUAAGUCAGUGGUGAAAUCUUGCAGCUCAACUGUAAAAUUGCCAUUGAUACUGGAUUUCUUGAAUUAGUGUGAAGUGGUUAGAAUGUGUAGUGUAGCGGUGAAAUGCAUAGAUAUUACACAGAAUACCAAUUGCGAAGGCAGAUCACUAACACUAUAUUGACGCUAAGGGACGAAAGCGUGGGGAGCGAACAGGAUUAGAAACCCUAGUAGUCC